UGGCAAUGAGGACAUAAUUUGUAAAUAUCUACUGUGAUUACAUUUAUACGCUAUACUGAGCCACAU
Molecule: non-coding RNA, 66 nt
Organism: Branchiostoma floridae (Florida lancelet)
Lineage: Eukaryota; Metazoa; Chordata; Leptocardii; Amphioxiformes; Branchiostomatidae
Source: Rfam